AUACGGAGGGUGCGAGCGUUAAUCGGAAUUACUGGGCGUAAAGCGUACGUAGGCGGUUGGUUAAGGUAGAUGUUAAAGCCCCGGGCUUAACCUGGGAACUGCAUUUAAAACUGGCGAACUAGAGUUGAGUAGAGGGGAGUGGAAUUUCAGGUGUAGCGGUGAAAUGCGUAGAGAUCUGAAGGAACACCAGUGGCGAAGGCGACUCCCUGGACUCGAACUGACGCUGAGGUACGAAAGCGUGGGUAGCAAACGGGAUUAGAAACCCUAGUAGUCC
Molecule: ribosomal RNA, 274 nt
Filed under: uncultured bacterium
Lineage: Bacteria
Description: partial 16S ribosomal RNA
Rfam family: Bacterial small subunit ribosomal RNA
Source: RNAcentral